Molecule: ribosomal RNA, 390 nt
Filed under: uncultured bacterium
Lineage: Bacteria
Description: bacterial SSU rRNA
Rfam family: Bacterial small subunit ribosomal RNA
Source: RNAcentral
GUUGAACGCUGGCGGCAUGCCUUACACAUGCAAGUCGAACGGCAGCACGGGAGCAAUCCUGGUGGCGAGUGGCGAACGGGUGAGUAAUAUAUCGGAACGUGCCCAGUCGUGGGGGAUAACGUAGCGAAAGCUACGCUAAUACCGCAUACGAUCUAUGGAUGAAAGCGGGGGAUCGCAAGACCUCGCGCGAUUGGAGCGGCCGAUAUCAGAUUAGGUAGUUGGUGAGGUAAAGGCUCACCAAGCCGACGAUCUGUAGCUGGUCUGAGAGGACGACCAGCCACACUGGGACUGAGACACGGCCCAGACUCCUACGGGAGGCAGCAGUGGGGAAUUUUGGACAAUGGGCGCAAGCCUGAUCCAGCAAUGCCGCGUGCAGGAUGAAGGCCUCGG